RNAcentral lists this ribosomal RNA (207 nucleotides) under Triticum aestivum (bread wheat). RNAcentral describes it as "partial small subunit ribosomal RNA". Lineage: Eukaryota; Viridiplantae; Streptophyta; Magnoliopsida; Poales; Poaceae. The record is from RNAcentral.
AUGAAGGACUUCAACACGCUUAAGCUCUUGGUUGCUUGGGAGAUAUGGAAACACCGUAAUGACAUUGUAUUCACCAACAAAUCGCCACAAAUCCAAACUGUUGCCAUGAUGAUCAUCGAGGAGGGCAAAGUUUGGCAAACGGCUAGGUUGUUCAAGCGGGACAUGCAAGCUUUCGUAGCAGAAUUGUAUAGGCGGGGGUGUAACUAG